CCGUAAAAAUCGACUCUAAAAACUGAUAUAUGGUUGGGCGUAAACGGAUUUGGGAUUUAUAUGUUCAAUUUCGUCGGUUAUAUGCAAUUUUGAAUGGAUGAGUCGAUUUUCAUAAAUUCAUUCGUCGAUGAUUACACACGCUCGAAUACUUAUACAUAAAAUUAUUAAUUUCAUUUAAUUCUGGUAUAGUAAUUGUGAACAUAGA
Molecule: long non-coding RNA, 205 nt
Filed under: Lathyrus oleraceus (garden pea)
Lineage: Eukaryota; Viridiplantae; Streptophyta; Magnoliopsida; Fabales; Fabaceae
Description: Pisum sativum (pea) long non-coding RNA (PSAT_LNC000381)
Source: RNAcentral